AACGAACGCUGGCGGCAUGCCUAACACAUGCAAGUCGAACGAGAUCCUUCGGGGUCUAGUGGCGCACGGGUGCGUAACGCGUGGGAAUCUGCCCUUAGGUUCGGAAUAACAGUUAGAAAUGACUGCUAAUACCGGAUGAUGACGUUAAGUCCAAAGAUUUAUCGCCUGAGGAUGAGCCCGCGUAGGAUUAGCUAGUUGGUGUGGUAAAGGCGCACCAAGGCGACGAUCCUUAGCUGGUCUGAGAGGAUGAUCAGCCACACUGGGACUGAGACACGGACCAGAACCCUACGGGAGGAAGCAGUGGGGAGUAUUAGAAAAUGGUCGCAAGCUUGAUCAACCAUUUACGCGGGGAUGAUGAAGGCUUUAGGGUGGUAAAGCUCUUUGACCAGGGAUGAUAAUGAAAGUACCGGGAGAAAAGGCCCGGGCUAACUCCGUG
RNAcentral lists this ribosomal RNA (436 nucleotides) under uncultured bacterium. RNAcentral describes it as "partial 16S ribosomal RNA". It matches the Rfam family "Bacterial small subunit ribosomal RNA", at positions 29 to 507 of the family's 1533-position model. The record is from RNAcentral.